GUGCUUGCUUCAGCAGUACAUAUACUAAAAUUGGAACUAUACGGAGAAGAUUAGCAUGGGCACUGUACAAAAUUCAUGGAGCAUUUCAUUUUUUU
Sarcophilus harrisii (Tasmanian devil) is the source of this 95-nucleotide small nuclear RNA. Lineage: Eukaryota; Metazoa; Chordata; Mammalia; Dasyuromorphia; Dasyuridae. The record is from Ensembl.